UACGGAGGGGGCUAGCGUUGUUCGGAAUUACUGGGCGUAAAGCGCGCGUAGGCGGCUUUGUAAGUUAGAGGUGAAAGCCCGAAGCUCAACUUCGGAAUUGCCUUUAAGACUGCAUCGCUAGAAUCAUGGAGAGGUGAGUGGAAUUCCGAGUGUAGAGGUGAAAUUCGUAGAUAUUCGCAAGAACACCGGUGGCGAAGGCGGCCAACUGGUCCGGAUCUGACGCUGAGGCGCGAAAGCGUGGGGAGCAAACAGG
RNAcentral lists this ribosomal RNA (253 nucleotides) under uncultured bacterium. RNAcentral's name for it is "partial 16S ribosomal RNA". It matches the Rfam family "Bacterial small subunit ribosomal RNA", at positions 524 to 776 of the family's 1533-position model. The record is from RNAcentral.